RNAcentral lists this ribosomal RNA (289 nucleotides) under uncultured Pseudomonas sp. RNAcentral's name for it is "partial 16S ribosomal RNA". It matches the Rfam family "Bacterial small subunit ribosomal RNA", at positions 1095 to 1382 of the family's 1533-position model. Lineage: Bacteria; Pseudomonadati; Pseudomonadota; Gammaproteobacteria; Pseudomonadales; Pseudomonadaceae. The record is from RNAcentral.
AGCGCAACCCUUGUCCUUAGUUACCAGCACGUUAUGGUGGGCACUCUAAGGAGACUGCCGGUGACAAACCGGAGGAAGGUGGGGAUGACGUCAAGUCAUCAUGGCCCUUACGGCCUGGGCUACACACGUGCUACAAUGGUCGGUACAAAGGGUUGCCAAGCCGCGAGGUGGAGCUAAUCCCAUAAAACCGAUCGUAGUCCGGAUCGCAGUCUGCAACUCGACUGCGUGAAGUCGGAAUCGCUAGUAAUCGUGAAAUCAGAAUGUCACGGUGAAUACGUUCCCGGGCCUU